UAAAAAUGUUAUUUCAUUGUUUUGAAUUGUAUGUGACUGCUACCAGGAUUUAAGAUUUGAAACUUUUUUUUUUUUUUUUUUACAAAUUAUGUGUUUUGGACUUUGGCUUAUUUAUUUAUUGCAGUCCUGAAGCUUCUUUCUUAUUGAUGUUUGAAUAUUUUAUGUAUUAUGGAUAUUAUUGAUUAUAAUUUCAUUGGAAUUCCUUCAUAUACUCUAAAUUAAAUUCUGUGAUUUUCCUAUCUGUAGUUCUUAGCCUUUAGUCUUCCUGCUAACAUUUCAAAAGAUAGCUUUGGAUUUCAACAUAAUAGAAAUGAAUUAGGAGAAUUAAAGGAAAAAGUGUAAGGAUAGUUAAAUCCAAAAUGUAAUUCCAUCUCUAAGGCUAUAAAUUCAAUAUUACUGUUUCUCAAUACAUACCAAAAUUUCUUCCUAAGUCUGAUUAGUAAAGAUAGGUACAUAAGUCCCGGAUGAUAGUGAUAAUGACAGUCAACAAAAGAAUUUAUAAUAGUUUUUAGCACAGUGAUAAGGUUCAAGAUAGAUGCUCCAUAAAUAUAUGCCCAGCAAUGAGAAUUAUUCCCCCACCCCUUGGUUUGGCAUAAUGAGGAACAGCACAAGGUGAAAGGCCCCUUCCAAGCAAAGCAUGUCAGUAUGCACCCACGCUUAUCUCCAGUCCUCACAGAACCCUUCAGUCAUCAAAUUCAUUUGGCAAAGGGUAUAGAUGACUGAAGAUUGAGUCAGGCAGCACCAGACCACUAGGGAAAUAAACAUAGGUAACCCAGCAGUGAAAAUCUAGUGCAUCAAAGCAGGUGACAGCUGAAUAAGGGGCCAAGAAUUUCAGGCUUUAGAUGAAAUAUAGAGGAGCUUAGAGUGUGUAGAGUCUCAGGAAAUAAAGUAAAAAUAAUUGAAGACCAAUUUUAUUCACCUAAAACAAAGGCUUCAGGUUAAUAACAACUAAAGUAUACACAGUGCUUUGAGGUGGUUAAAAAGGUUUUCACAUUAAUUUCCACAGUUGGUCUUCCCCAAAAUUCAGUGUGUAUGAUUACAUGCAUUUCAUUGAUGUGGCAGCUAAAAAAGAGAAUUUCAGGGAGGUGUCCAUAAUCUUAGAACUUUUAACUUGCAGUGGAGGAAUCUAAGUCAGACCAGUCAACUCUGUGACUUCACCAAUGAUUCCUAAGCUUGCGAGAGCCCUUCUUCUCUGCCUAAAUACUGGUUCUCAGCUUCUCCAGAAAUUCUGCCACAUCUAAAACCUUGAUUCACACAGUGUUAACAAAAGACUACCUUUUUCUCCAUGAUGGAAACCUCCAUGGAGGAUUGCACUGGGAUAGUGACAACUGAGGAAGAGUGUCCAUAUUUUGAAGGAUUUCCCUGAAGACCAAGGAAGUAUAACCUUCUGAGGAUGCCUCUUCUGCAACCUUUACAGAAAGCUCAACCUGCCUUCUGGCCAUAACCAUAUAAAAUUCAAAAGCAGAACCAGCAUCUCCUUUCAAGAGAAAAGACAUGAGGUAAACAGCAAAGACCAACAGUAAACUAAAAUGAUUUGGAGACCAGUACAAUGACUGCAUGAGAAGUAACAGCAAGCAGAUAACUAAAUCAAUGUAAGAGAAAGUUUUAUCACAACAGAAUGCGAGAAUAAACCUCUAGUAAUCAAGGAAAGCUUCAAUGAUAUUUCAUAUCUCCCCAUUCAAAAAAGCAAACAUUUUCUCCUUGCAAUUCUUUAGCUUCAUUAUAAUGUAAAUAUAAGAAGAGGCUUUUAAAAUUUAAUCUUACUUGGAAUUCUUUGUCCUUUUAUGACUGUGAAUAUUCAUGUCUUGUCUUAAUUCUAGAUAAUGUUCAGCAAUUUUCUCUAUUUUUCUCCCACUGGAACUAUUUACUGAUGUGUAAUAGAACUUAUGUUUCAAAAUCUUUUACAUUUUCAAUUCUCUUUUCUCUCUUUUAUACACUUAGUAAUUUUCUAAUUUCCAUGAUCCAGUUUAUAAAAUCUCUCUUUGACAGCAUUCUCUCUUUGAUUACUUAUUCUUUCUAUUGAGAUUUUUUGAAAAAAAAAAUGAUUAUACAUUUUAUUUAUAAUAAUUUAAAUUGGUUCUCUUUUGUAUCUGCAUGUUCUAAUUUAUUGACUACUUAGUUGUUAUUUUAUAAACUCCUGUUCUUACUUUUUAACUGGGGCAAUUUACUUUUCAUUUUUUAAAGAUUUCAAAUAUACAUAUUUUCAAGUCUUUUCCAUCUUAAUCAUGCCACCCUAUGAUGAUAAACUCAAGUUGCCAGACAGCGUAGGGAAAUGUAAGACUAAGGGGAUAGUAUGAGAAAAAAGAUGAUGAAGAUUAUGUGAAAAGGCUACCAUAUAAUUUCUUUUUUCCUCAAGUUGGAUUUCAAAAUAUUUAGAGAAAAAUAUUGAAGUUUAAGCAAUAAUCUAGAUUAAGACAUAUGAUAAAUGGCUCACUUUACAAAUUCAAAAUGCUAUUACCAGAGGGGAAUAAAGAUGGCGGACGAGAUACUAGACAGGGUAUCUCUGCAGAAAAGACAGAUUCUAGCAGAAAUUAGA
Non-coding RNA from Microcebus murinus (gray mouse lemur), 2536 nucleotides. The record is from RefSeq and is a predicted model, not a curated record. Lineage: Eukaryota; Metazoa; Chordata; Mammalia; Primates; Cheirogaleidae.